Nomascus leucogenys (northern white-cheeked gibbon) is the source of this 147-nucleotide non-coding RNA. It matches the Rfam family "Metazoan signal recognition particle RNA". Rfam says of the family: The signal recognition particle (SRP) is a universally conserved ribonucleoprotein. It is involved in the co-translational targeting of proteins to membranes. Lineage: Eukaryota; Metazoa; Chordata; Mammalia; Primates; Hylobatidae. The record is from Rfam.
GCCGGGCGUGGUAGCGUGCGCCUGUAGUCCCAGCUACUCGGGAGGCUGAGGCGGAAGAAUUGUUUGAAACUGGGAGGCGGAGUUGCAGUGAGCCAAGAUGGCGCCACUGCACUCCAGCCCGGGUGACAGAGCAAGACUCUGUCUCAA